Molecule: ribosomal RNA, 377 nt
Filed under: uncultured bacterium
Lineage: Bacteria
Description: bacterial SSU rRNA
Rfam family: Bacterial small subunit ribosomal RNA
Source: RNAcentral
UAAUACGUAGGGGGCAAGCGUUGUCCGGAUUUAUUGGGCGUAAAGAGCGUGUAGGCGGCCAGAUAGGUCGGUUGUGAAAACUGGAGGCUUAACCUUCAGACGUCGAUCGAAACCAUCUGGCUAGAGUCCGGAAGAGGAGAAUGGAAUUCCUGGUGUAGCGGUGAAAUGCGCAGAUAUCAGGAAGAACACCCGUGGCGAAGGCGGUUCUCUGGGACGGUACUGACGCUGAGACGCGAAAGCGUGGGGAGCGAACAGGAUUAGAUACCCUGGUAGUCCACGCCGUAAACGAUGGGUGCUAGGUGUGGGGGGUGUCGACUCCCUCCGUGCCGAAGCUAACGCAUUAAGCACCCCGCCUGGGGAGUACGGCCGCAAGGCUA